GUCUACAGCCAUGCCACCCUGAAGGUGCCCAAUCAUCUGAUCUCCGAAGCUAAGCCGAGUCCGGCCUGGUUAGUACUUGGAUGGGAGACAAUGAGGAAUGAGGGAAGAAGGCAAGAGCAAUAGAAA
Molecule: ribosomal RNA, 126 nt
Filed under: Sus scrofa (pig)
Lineage: Eukaryota; Metazoa; Chordata; Mammalia; Artiodactyla; Suidae
Source: RNAcentral